Molecule: small nuclear RNA, 107 nt
Organism: Myotis lucifugus (little brown bat)
Lineage: Eukaryota; Metazoa; Chordata; Mammalia; Chiroptera; Vespertilionidae
Source: Ensembl
GUGCUUAUUUCAGCAGUACAUAUACUAAAAUUGGAAUGAUACAGAGAAGAUUAGGAUGCCCCCUGCACAAGGAUGACAUGCAAAUUUGUGAAGCAUUCCAUAUUUAA